GAUGAACGCUGGCGGCGUGCUUAAUACAUGCAAGUCGAACGAACGGACGAGAAGUUUGCUUCUCUGAUGUUAGCGGCGGACGGGUGUGUAACACGUGGAUACCCUCCCUAUAAGACUGGGAAAACUUCGGAAAACCGGAGCUAAUCCGGGAUAAUAUUUUGAACCGCGUGGUCCAUAAGUGAAAGACGGUCUUGCUGUCACUACUAGAUGGAUCCGCGCUGCUUUAGCUAGUUGGGAAGGUAACGGCUUACCAAGGCAACGAUGCAUAGCCGACCUGAGAGGGGGAUCGGCCACAUGGGAACGGAGACACGGUCCAGACUCCUACGGGAGGCAGCAGUAGGGAAUCUUCCGCAAUGGGCGAAAACAUGACGGAGCAACGCCGCGUGAGUGAUGAAGGUCUUCGGAUCGUAAAACUCUGCUAUGAGUGAAGAACAGAUGUGUAAGUAACUGUGCACAGCGUGACGGUACCUAGUAAGAAAGCCACGGCUAACUACGUG
RNAcentral lists this ribosomal RNA (497 nucleotides) under uncultured bacterium. RNAcentral's name for it is "partial 16S ribosomal RNA". It matches the Rfam family "Bacterial small subunit ribosomal RNA", at positions 28 to 507 of the family's 1533-position model. The record is from RNAcentral.